This 871-nucleotide ribosomal RNA is filed under the name uncultured Methanosaeta sp. RNAcentral describes it as "bacterial SSU rRNA". It matches the Rfam family "Archaeal small subunit ribosomal RNA", at positions 1 to 879 of the family's 1478-position model. The record is from RNAcentral. Lineage: Archaea; Methanobacteriati; Methanobacteriota; Methanomicrobia; Methanotrichales; Methanotrichaceae.
UCCGGUUGAUCCUGCCAGAGGUUACUGCUAUCGAGGUUCGACUAAGCCAUGCGAGUCGAAUGUAGCAAUACAUGGCGAACUGCUCAGUAACACGUGGACAACCUGCCCUUAGGUUGGGUAUAAACCCGGGAAACUGGGUAUAAUACCCGAUAGGUCUCGAUUGCUGGAAUGCAUCGAGAUUUAAAGCUCCGGCGCCUAAGGAUGGGUCUGCGGCCUAUCAGGUAGUAGUGGGUGUAGCGUACCUACUAGCCUACGACGGGUACGGGUUGUGAGAGCAAGAGCCCGGAGAUGGAUUCUGAGACACGAAUCCAGGCCCUACGGGGUGCAGCAGGCGCGAAAACUUUACAAUGCUGGCAACAGCGAUAAGGGAACCUCGAGUGCCAGGUUACAAAUCUGGCUGUCGAGAUGCCUAAAAAGCAUUUCAUAGCAAGGGCCGGGCAAGACCGGUGCCAGCCGCCGCGGUAACACCGGCGGCUCGAGUGGUAACCGUUAUUAUUGGGUCUAAAGGGUCUGUAGCCGGCCGGAUAAGUCUCUUGAGAAAUCUGGCAGCUUAACUGUCAGGCUUUCAGGAGAUACUGUCUGGCUCGAGGCCGGGAGAGGUGAGAGGUACUUCAGGGGUAGGGGUGAAAUCUUGUAAUCCUUGAAGGACCACCAGUGGCGAAGGCGUCUCACCAGAACGGACCUGACGGCAAGGGACGAAAGCUAGGGGCACGAACCGGAUUAGAUACCCGGGUAGUCCUAGCCGUAAACGAUACUCGCUAGGUGUCGGCCACGGUGCGACCGUUGUCGGUGCCGUAGGGAAGCCGUGAAGCGAGCCACCUGGGAAGUACGGCCGCAAGGCUGAAACUUAAAGGAAUUGGCGGGGGAGCAC